GGGGAUGUAGCUCAGUGGUAGAGUGCUUGCCUAGCUAGAUGUAUGGGGCCUUGGGUUCAAUCCUCAGUACCACCA
Molecule: transfer RNA, 75 nt
Filed under: Urocitellus parryii (Arctic ground squirrel)
Lineage: Eukaryota; Metazoa; Chordata; Mammalia; Rodentia; Sciuridae
Also listed under: 2 other names
Description: Spermophilus parryii (Arctic ground squirrel) tRNA
Rfam family: tRNA
About the family: Transfer RNA (tRNA) molecules are approximately 80 nucleotides in length.
Source: Rfam by way of RNAcentral